Alosa sapidissima (American shad) is the source of this 111-nucleotide long non-coding RNA. RefSeq lists it as uncharacterized. The transcript has 3 exons. NCBI's taxonomy places the organism in Eukaryota, Metazoa, Chordata, Actinopteri, Clupeiformes, Clupeidae. The record is from RefSeq and is a predicted model, not a curated record.
AGUGGCUGGUAAGUUGACCAAAUUCACCCGCCAGCACACAAAACUACCGGCAUUUGGCGGGGGGCGGGUGGUUAAUUUCCAUCCCUGGUGUGUAGUGUUGAUGAAAAAUGC